CAGUAAAAGAUGGCGAAGAAAGUCUUAUGUCUCAUUGCCACAAUUUUCACGAAAUGGUCAGAAAUCUGGGACUGAAAUUGGCAUCGAUCUGUGAAAACGGGUGGUGAGAGAUUUGCUCCAGCAGUGAACGCGUCUUGCGUCUUAAACAAUGUAAGGACAUAUUGGCAGUGACUCAAUCGUGCACGAGAAGAUUGAAUAAGUUCUCCAUCAAAGACGUCAGACUCGUGUUCCACAGCGGCUGCAUCCAUGUCAAGAUUACAUGUCGCUUGUCAGAGUUUGUCUGCUAGUAAAUUUGCAGGGUUGAAACUUAAUAUAAACUGUAAUUUUUACUUUGGGUUGUGAAUCGGCUGUAGUUAUUUUCAAACUAUCACAAAGUAGUGUUUAGGAAGAGUACUUUGCUACACGAACAUGUUGUAGUGGUUUAUUACCGUGUAGGUGUGGCAACAUAAACAACAAGCACAUGUAGGACGACCGGUUUUCUUUUUGUUCGUAACAUAUUUGUGAGGGCAAAUCUGCAAUUUGGCACUUCUCCGUGAACAAUUAUUUAUUUAAUUGAAUUCUAGUAUUUAUUUUGGUGAUGUUUACUUUUGGAAAGAAAGAAAAACGUCUCAA
This is a long non-coding RNA of Lingula anatina, 612 nucleotides long. NCBI's taxonomy places the organism in Eukaryota, Metazoa, Brachiopoda, Lingulata, Lingulida, Lingulidae. The record is from RefSeq and is a predicted model, not a curated record.